UUGGAUCAAUCAAAUAAAUACAGGAUAUUUUCCUAGAGCACAACCAAGUAUUUUCUGAUUACAUAAAACUGUAGCUUGAAAGGAGAUGUAACCACUGAAACAUUUCAUAUUUGUAGGAUACUGCAUGGAACCUUUCUUUGAUCUCUGCUUGGCAUUGCUGUCCCUUCCCUUCUCUCUUUCCCCUAGCCCCCCCUUCUUUUUUAGCUUUUUGUAAGGCAGUAAGAACGUGUAAAAUUGAAGUGCUUUGGGAUGCUGAAAGAUAGGAUUUACGACAUGCUCCUUAAUGAAUAAGCCUUUCAUUUCUCUGGGAUAAGAGGAGGACUCUUAUAAUGUCCUGCCGGUCUUGCUUGUACUCAGAUUCAGUUUCCUCCGGUUGGUCAAGGUCUGCUGCAUUUUCUUUUGUCUGAUGGAAGGAUUUUCUAUUUCAUCAAAGAAAGAUGGUGUAAUCUGCCAAGAUAGUGUAGCUCAUGUGGAGGGAGCAAGCAGUGCAUACAGACCUGAAUUGGGAGCUAAAUUCUAGGUGUGCU
Pezoporus flaviventris is the source of this 527-nucleotide long non-coding RNA. RefSeq lists it as uncharacterized. The record is from RefSeq and is a predicted model, not a curated record. NCBI's taxonomy places the organism in Eukaryota, Metazoa, Chordata, Aves, Psittaciformes, Psittacidae. The transcript is spliced from 3 exons.